CCUACGGGAGGCAGCAGUGGGGAAUAUUGCUCAAUGGGGGAAACCCUGAAGCAGCGACGCCGCGUGAAGGAUGAAGGUUUUCGGAUUGUAAACCCCUUUUGGCAGGGAAGAUAAUGACGGUAUCUGACGAAUAAGCACCGGCUAACUCCGUGCCAGCAGCCGCGGUAAUACGGAGGGUGCAAGCGUUACUCGGAAUCACUGGGCGUAAAGAGCGCGUAGGCGGGAUAGCAAGUCAGAUGUGAAAGCCUAUGGCUUAACCCUAGAACUGCAUUUGAAACUGUUAUUCUAGAGUAUGGGAGAGGUAGGUGGAAUUCGUGGUGUAGGGGUAAAAUGCGUAGAGAUCAAGAGGAAUACUCAUUGCGAAGGCGACCUGCUAGAACAUAACUGACGCUGAGGCGCGAAAGCGUGGGGAGCAAACAGGAUUAGAUACCCCAGUAGUC
RNAcentral lists this ribosomal RNA (440 nucleotides) under uncultured bacterium. RNAcentral's name for it is "partial 16S ribosomal RNA". It matches the Rfam family "Bacterial small subunit ribosomal RNA", at positions 338 to 795 of the family's 1533-position model. The record is from RNAcentral.